This 378-nucleotide long non-coding RNA is filed under the name Homo sapiens (human). RNAcentral describes it as "non-protein coding lnc-PIEZO2-14:5". Lineage: Eukaryota; Metazoa; Chordata; Mammalia; Primates; Hominidae. The record is from RNAcentral.
GCAGACCUCUCGCUGCUUCAGGAGGACCUGCAGGAGGACGCAGACGGAUUUGGUGUGGAUGACUACAGCUCAGAGUCUGAUGUGAUUAUUAUACCUUCAGCCCUGGACUUUGUCUCACAAGAUGAAAUGUUGACGCCCCUGGGGAGAUUGGACAAGUAUGCUGCAAGUGAGAACAUAUUUAACAGGUAUGUGCAUAUUCUUUUUGUUAAAGUGGAAGUGGAAGGGUGGUUUUAUUAACUUCAGUAGGGAAAAUGAAAGUAUCCACUUUAAAGGAGGUAUUAUUAACAGGCACAAUCUGAGUCACCAAGUUUUAUUCAUAAUCACAGCAUGAGCAGUUUUGUACUUGUUUAUUCUUUGAUCCUAGUAAGCAUACAACAU